UACGGAGGGUGCGAGCGUUGUCCGGAAUCACUGGGCGUAAAGGGCGCGUAGGCGGCUCAUGAAGGCUGUGGUGAAAGUCCGGGGCUCAACCUCGGAUCGGCCGUGGCGACUCGUGGGCUGGAGCACUGUAGAGGCGGGUGGAAUUCCGGGUGUAGCGGUGGAAUGCGUAGAGAUCGGGAAGAACACCAGUGGCGAAGGCGGCCGGCUGGGGGGCGCCCUGACGCUGAGGCGCGAGAGCGUGGGGAGCAAACCGG
RNAcentral lists this ribosomal RNA (254 nucleotides) under uncultured bacterium. RNAcentral describes it as "partial 16S ribosomal RNA". It matches the Rfam family "Bacterial small subunit ribosomal RNA", at positions 524 to 776 of the family's 1533-position model. The record is from RNAcentral.